Molecule: ribosomal RNA, 583 nt
Filed under: uncultured bacterium
Lineage: Bacteria
Description: partial 16S ribosomal RNA
Rfam family: Bacterial small subunit ribosomal RNA
Source: RNAcentral
CUAAGAAUAUUCCGCAAUGGACGGAAGUCUGACGGAGCGACGCCGCGUGGAUGACGAAGGCCGAAAGGUUGUAAAGUUCUUUUGCUGGGGAAGAAUAACCGCAGGAGGGAAUGCCUGUGGGAUGACAAGAACCGGCGAAUAAGCCCCGGCCAACUACGUGCCAGCAGCCGCGGUAACACGUAGGGGGGCGAGCGUUGUUCGGAAUUACUGGGCGUAAAGGGCAUGUAGGCGGCUUGGAAAGCCUGGCGUGAAAGUCUGCAGCUUAACUGCAGGGGUGCGCUGGGAACUGCUGAGCUUGAGUGACGGAGAGGGAGCUGGAAUUCCUGGUGUAGGGGUGAAAUCUGUAGAUAUCAGGAAGAACACCGAUGGCGAAGGCAAGCUCCUGGCCGAUGACUGACGCUGAGGUGCGAAAGUGUGGGGAUCAAACAGGAUUAGAUACCCUGGUAGUCCACACAGUCAACGAUGUGCACUAGGUGCUGGGGCGGUAGCUUCGGUGCCGGAGCGAACGUGGUAAGUGCACCGCCUGGGGAGUAUGCUCGCAAGGGUGAAACUUAAAUGAUUGACGGGGUCAUAGCUGUUUCCU